AGUGGCGAACGGGUGAGUAAUGCAUCGGAACGUGCCCAAUCGUGGGGGAUAACGCAGCGAAAGCUGUGCUAAUACCGCAUACGAUCUACGGAUGAAAGCGGGGGACCUUCGGGCCUCACGCGAUUGGAGCGGCCGAUGUUAGAUUAGGUAGUUGGUGGGGUAAUGGCCCACCAAGGCUACGAUCUAUAGCUGGUCUGAGAGGAUGAUCAGCCACACUGGGACUGAGACACGGCACAGACUCC
RNAcentral lists this ribosomal RNA (242 nucleotides) under uncultured bacterium. RNAcentral's name for it is "partial 16S ribosomal RNA". It matches the Rfam family "Bacterial small subunit ribosomal RNA", at positions 94 to 339 of the family's 1533-position model. The record is from RNAcentral.